GGCUAGAGCACGCAAGGAACCACCUCCAUAUUGGAUCAAACAACCAUAGUCCACGGGCGAAGGACAGUAGCGAGAUGAGGUGCUAGUAGGGGUUGGGCCAAAACCCAGGUUCAACCGGACAUAGCCAGCCGCCUCUCGACCACUGCCUUCGUGUGGUGGGCUCUAAUGGGCUCCUAGGCCUAGCCUCGUGUGGUGGUCUUCACUGGUGUACAUCUUGUUGGCGUACUCUUGUUUCUUUGUGUAAAUGAGAUGAAAAGCGUCUUACUGUGAAUAAUUCUCAUGUAUUCGUGUUCCUGACCUGUAAAAUAGAUAUCUCCAAAUACAUGUGGAACUAGGUUAAAAGUAUAUGCAUACGUAGUAUUAGCUUACUAACUUCCCUUAUUUUAUACAUUAAUUGGUGAACGGAUCUCACUGUUAAUGAUGAGCAACAACAAGACAACACACACUUACAUAGCUCGAUUAGAACCUCUCUAUGUGCUCCUCUAGAUAUUCUUCUACUUUUGCCCCUUUGAUUUUUUCUAUUUGUUGGGUUGUCAUUGUUUUUGGGAAAAUUCAACUUUUAAUUUUAUUUUUUUUUUACUUAGGAUCACACAAGAAGUAAGGACAGAAAAAAUGAGCUUAAACAUGUGAAAGACGUGACCUAUAGAAAAAUGAGAAGAUGUACUACAAAUUGACAAAAAGCUGGCGAGAUUAGAAAGUCAAACUUCUAGGCUGAUUUUAGGGAAUAUAAAAUUGGCAAACCCUUCAAAGCAAAGGACAGACGGAUCCGAAAAAAUUCUAAUCGAUUUUGAUAUAUGGAUCAUCUCAAUCGGAGUUUUUAUGCGUAAGUUAUGACUGCUUUGAGAAUGGACUCCGAAUUAAAGGAC
Molecule: long non-coding RNA, 866 nt
Filed under: Sorghum bicolor (sorghum)
Lineage: Eukaryota; Viridiplantae; Streptophyta; Magnoliopsida; Poales; Poaceae
Description: long non-coding RNA (SBIC_LNC016178)
Source: RNAcentral